This is a non-coding RNA of Podarcis lilfordi (Lilford's wall lizard), 363 nucleotides long. The record is from the annotation of a GenBank genome assembly. Lineage: Eukaryota; Metazoa; Chordata; Lepidosauria; Squamata; Lacertidae.
GUCUGCUUACAGAACAGCAUGUGCUGCAGAACAGAGGGUGAGGGACAUUACACUGAUGUCUGCUUGUGGGUUGCCCAAGAGGCAUUUGGGUGGACCACUGUGAGAACAGAAUGCUGGGCUGGAUGAGCUUUUCCUCUGAUCCAGCAGGGCUCUUCUUAUGUCCAUAUACAGUGUACAGAGGCGGUUUCGGGGAGCGCAACCGGUUCGGCCGUACUGGGCAUCGCGUUGCAGGGAGCAGCACAACAAUGCAGCACGAUGCAGUGCGAGAGGUGUGAUAUUGCCAAAUGUUAGCAACAGCACAGGGCACCGCUGGAAUUUGAGAGCCCAAAGUCCACCACUGCAGGGUGUGGGUGAAAAGGUGGG